This 492-nucleotide ribosomal RNA is filed under the name uncultured bacterium. RNAcentral describes it as "bacterial SSU rRNA". It matches the Rfam family "Bacterial small subunit ribosomal RNA", at positions 29 to 512 of the family's 1533-position model. The record is from RNAcentral.
AGUGAACGCUGGCGGCAGGCCUAAUACAUGCAAGUCGAACGGCAGCACAGCAGAGCUUGCUCUGUGGGUGGCGAGUGGCGGACGGGUGAGGAAUACAUGGGAAUCUGCCCAGUCGUGGGGGAUAACGUAGGGAAACUUACGCUAAUACCGCAUGCGCCCUUCGGGGGAAAGCCGGGGACCUUCGGGCCUGGCGCGAUUGGAUGAGCCCAUGUCGGAUUAGCUAGUUGGCGGGGUAAUGGCCCACCAAGGCGACGAUCCGUAGCUGGUCUGAGAGGAUGAUCAGCCACACUGGAACUGAGACACGGUCCAGACUCCUACGGGAGGCAGCAGUAGGGAUAUUGGACAAUGGGCGCAAGCCUGAUCCAGCCAUGCCGCGUGAGUGAAGAAGGCCCUCGGGUUGUAAAGCUCUUUGUCCGGAAAGAAAGCGCCGGGUUAAUACCCUAGUGUCCUGACGGUACCGGAAGAAUAAGCACCGGCUAACUUCGUGCCAGC